RNAcentral lists this ribosomal RNA (761 nucleotides) under uncultured bacterium. RNAcentral's name for it is "bacterial SSU rRNA". It matches the Rfam family "Bacterial small subunit ribosomal RNA", at positions 8 to 796 of the family's 1533-position model. The record is from RNAcentral.
AGAGUUUGAUCAUGGCUCAGGACGAACGCUGGCGGCGUGCUUAACACAUGCAAGUCGAACGAGGUGCUUGCACCUAGUGGCGAACGGGUGAGUAACACGUGAGCAACCUGCCCUUGGCUCUGGGAUAGCCUCCGGAAACGGGGAUUAAUACCGGACAUGACCUUCUCCUGCAUGGGGGAGGGUGGAAAGUUUUUCGGCCAGGGAGGGGCUCGCGGCCUAUCAGCUUGUUGGGGGGUAACGGCCCACCAAGGCGACGACGGGUAGCCGGCCUGAGAGGGCGACCGGCCACACUGGGACUGAGACACGGCCCAGACUCCUACGGGAGGCAGCAGUGGGGAAUAUUGCACAAUGGGGGAAACCCUGAUGCAGCGACGCCGCGUGCGGGAUGAAGGCCUUCGGGUUGUAAACCGCUUUCAGCAGGGACGAAGCGAGAGUGACGGUACCUGCAGAAGAAGCGCCGGCUAACUACGUGCCAGCAGCCGCGGUAAUACGUAGGGCGCAAGCGUUGUCCGGAAUUAUUGGGCGUAAAGAGCUCGUAGGCGGCCAGUUGCGUCCGCUGUGAAAUCCCGGGGCUUAACCCCGGGCGUGCAGUGGAUACGGGCUGGCUAGAGGCAGGCAGGGGAGAACGGAAUUCCCGGUGUAGCGGUGAAAUGCGCAGAUAUCGGGAGGAACACCGGUGGCGAAGGCGGUUCUCUGGGCCUGUACUGACGCUGAGGAGCGAAAGCGUGGGGAGCGAACAGGAUUAGAUACCCUAGUAGUCC